GCCCCAUGAUUGAUACAGAGGACUGUCAUAUGAACCAGAGAGGGUAAUUGAAACCAAAGAAAGGCCUCUGGUGUGUAGCCAAAGGCAUGCCACCAGGGGUGAGAAGGAGCAGAUGUCUUGACAAACAGGGCAUGAGACCAGCUGUGCGUGGUCAGCCUCUGAUUUGGGCCCAAAAGGAAAAGAAAUUCAGAGGAGACAGUGACUCUCAGACUCUCCCUUGUUAAUGAGCAAGAGUUCCCUGGAUCCAAGAGCUAUUUGGCUGCUCAAAAUUUUAAAUGUGCCAUGGGAGACAUUUAGCUGUGGUGAAGUGAGUGAAGUUGCUCAGUCGUGUCCGACUCUUUGCGACCUCAUGGACUGUAGCCUACCAGGCUCCUCUGUCCAUGGGAUUUUCCAGGCAAUAGUACUGGAGUGGGAUGCCAUUUCCUUCUCCAGGGGAUCUUCCCAACCCAGGGAUCGAACCCCGGUCUUCCUCAUUGUAGACAGACGCUUUACCAUCUAA
RNAcentral lists this long non-coding RNA (499 nucleotides) under Bos indicus x Bos taurus (hybrid cattle). Its description in RNAcentral is "lncRNA (ENSBIXG00005018615.1)". Lineage: Eukaryota; Metazoa; Chordata; Mammalia; Artiodactyla; Bovidae. The record is from RNAcentral.